CCUACGGGAGGCAGCAGUGAGGAAUAUUGGUCAAUGGACGAGAGUCUGAACCAGCCAAGUAGCGUGAAGGAUGACUGCCCUAUGGGUUGUAAACUUCUUUUAUAUGGGAAUAAAAUGUUCCACGUGUGGGAUUUUGUAUGUACCAUAUGAAUAAGGAUCGGCUAACUCCGUGCCAGCAGCCGCGGUAAUACGGAGGAUCCGAGCGUUAUCCGGAUUUAUUGGGUUUAAAGGGAGCGUAGGUGGAUUGUUAAGUCAGUUGUGAAAGUUUGCGGCUCAACCGUAAAAUUGCAGUCGAAACUGGCAGUCUUGAGUACAGUAGAGGUGGGCGGAAUUCGUGGUGUAGCGGUGAAAUGCUUAGAUAUCACGAAGAACUCCGAUUGCGAAGGCAGUUCACUGGACUGCAACUGACACUGAGGCUCGAAAGUGUGGGUAUCAAACAGGAUUAGAUACCCGAGUAGUC
Molecule: ribosomal RNA, 460 nt
Filed under: uncultured bacterium
Lineage: Bacteria
Description: partial 16S ribosomal RNA
Rfam family: Bacterial small subunit ribosomal RNA
Source: RNAcentral